UGGGGGAUAUUGCACAAUGGGCGAAAGCCUGAUGCAGCGACGCCGCGUGGGGGAUGAAGGCUUUCGGGUUGUAAACCUCUUUCGCUAUCGAACAAGGCCCGCUUAGGGUGGGUUGAGGGUAGGUGGAGAAGAAGCGCCGGCUAACUACGUGCCAGCAGCCGCGGUAAUACGUAGGGCGCGAGCGUUGUCCGGAAUUAUUGGGCGUAAAGGGCUUGUAGGCGGCUUGUUGCGCCUGCUGUGAAAACGCGGGGCUUAACUUCGCGCGUGCAGUGGGUACGGGCAGGCUUGAGUGUGGUAGGGGUGACUGGAAUUCCAGGUGUAGCGGUGGAAUGCGCAGAUAUCUGGAGGAACACCGAUGGCGAAGGCAGGUCACUGGGCCAUUACUGACGCUGGGGAGCGAAAGCAUGGGUAGCGAACAGG
Molecule: ribosomal RNA, 420 nt
Filed under: bacterium
Lineage: Bacteria
Description: partial 16S ribosomal RNA
Rfam family: Bacterial small subunit ribosomal RNA
Source: RNAcentral